This 220-nucleotide unclassified non-coding RNA is filed under the name plant metagenome. RNAcentral's name for it is "partial contains small subunit ribosomal RNA, internal transcribed spacer 1, and 5.8S ribosomal RNA". The record is from RNAcentral.
UUUCCGUUGGUGAACCAGCGGAAGGAUCAUUACAGAGAUCGUGUCCUUCGGGGUAGACCUACCACCCUGUGUUAUUUACGUAUGUUACUUUUGCGGGCCACCUACGGGCUCUCGGCUUCGGCCUAGGUGUGACCGCCAGAGAAACCACAACACUGUGUUUAGUGUCGUCUGAGUAUUAUCAGAUAAGUUAAAACUUUCAACAACGGAUCUCUUGGUUCUG